GCGGACGUGGCGGAAUUGGUAGACGCACUGGAUUUAGGUUCCAGCGCCUUGUGCGUGAGAGUUCGAGUCUCUCCGUCCGCACCA
Molecule: transfer RNA, 84 nt
Filed under: Limnobacter sp.
Lineage: Bacteria; Pseudomonadati; Pseudomonadota; Betaproteobacteria; Burkholderiales; Burkholderiaceae
Description: tRNA-Leu
Rfam family: tRNA
About the family: Transfer RNA (tRNA) molecules are approximately 80 nucleotides in length. Their secondary structure includes four short double-helical elements and three loops (D, anti-codon, and T loops).
Source: RNAcentral